CCUACGGGUGGCAGCAGUGGGGAAUAUUGGGCAAUGGGCGAAAGCCUGACCCAGCAAUGCCGCGUGAAUGAAGAAGGUCUUAUGAUUGUAAAAUUCUGUCCUCUGGGAAGAAAAAAAUGACGGUCCCAUAGGACUAAGCCCCGGCUACCUACGUGCCAGCAGCCGCGGUAAUACGUAGGGGGCGAGCGUUGUCCGGAAUUACUGGGCGUAAAGAGAGCGUAGGCGGCACUACAAGGCUCAUGUGGAAUACCCGGGCUUAACUUGGGGGUUGGAUUGGAAACUGUAGAGCUUGAGUACAGGAGAGGCAAGCGGAAUUCCUAGUGUAGCGGUGAAAGGCAUAGAUAUUAGGAGGAACACCAGUGGCGAAGGCGGCUUGCUGGAAUGAAGCUGCCACUGACAUUGAUGCUCGAAAGUGUGGGUAUCAAACAGGAUUAGAUACCCCGGUAGUC
This 449-nucleotide ribosomal RNA is filed under the name uncultured bacterium. Its description in RNAcentral is "partial 16S ribosomal RNA". It matches the Rfam family "Bacterial small subunit ribosomal RNA", at positions 338 to 795 of the family's 1533-position model. The record is from RNAcentral.